This 2602-nucleotide long non-coding RNA is filed under the name Columba livia (rock pigeon). RNAcentral's name for it is "partial uncharacterized LOC102094566, transcript variant X1". Lineage: Eukaryota; Metazoa; Chordata; Aves; Columbiformes; Columbidae. The record is from RNAcentral.
CACACAUGCAAAGGUCCCUUCGGGCUCUUUUUUUUUGUUUUCCCCUUUGAAAUUUCAAAUUCCAGUUUGUGGACAAAGUCCUGCCUAUCUGAGAAUAUAGAUCUCCGACCACUGACCAAACUCCACUCCAAGCAGUCCUGAGGGCUGCUCUUCCCCUUGCCCACGGAUACCUCUGCUCAGUCCCUGGGUCUGCCAGGAUCUCACCACAACUUUUGCACCUGAGCAAAGCGCUCGUACUCGUACAAAGUGGAUUUUGCGCGUUUCAACCUUAACGUCAGCAGCUCCCUUUCUGCAUGCGGAAUGGGAAGGACCAUCGGGAAGAACCAGGGAUCUCAGGAAACCACGUCUGGACCUGGAGAGAAUGUGUUUAGCAAGUGGAUGUGAUCCCUUUGGAAAUGAAGUAAUCUUGCAGCUUCCCAGGAAAAAGAUCCCUACUGAGCAGUCUGGCAGGAGCGAGCAAAGUGCCUGAAUAGUCUGUCUUGUCCCCUGCGCUCUCAAUUGCCAGUGCACAGCAAGUGCCAGGGGAGUAAAGUGGAAGCAGAACAGUCCUCAGGAGCUCCACAUCCACAGCAGCUUUGUAGCCCUGCAGCCCCCGGCCACCACAGCACUCUCCUGCGCAACACAACCCUCCCAUCCACUGCCGCAGAAAAAAAACCACCGCAGAAAGCAAGGUGCCAAGCAAUGAAUCGAAUGCUUGGAGGUCAUUGCAAUGUGGCCUGGUGCUGCCCGGCCGUGGCCCUGACCAUGCCAGGAGCAAGCGUCGCCUCGUCAGCCUUCACACCCAGAGGGACCAGCUCAGAGCCAAGCCAAUCUGAAACACCCAUUUUCCUGCACUUCCCUUCCUCCUCGGAUGACUUUUCUCCCACCGAGACCACCUCUCCUUUUACUGUGCCAAGGAGGAGACAGCUUCUUCCUGCCCUCCAAAGAUGCUGGAACACAAGUGCCACCUCAAAGGUACGACUCUAAUGGUGGAAAAACAUUCCCAAACCAUUCCUGCCCUGUCUGUGUGAGCCUCCAGUCACACCUGGGGCUGCCUGGAGUGAAUUCAAAUUAAUUUGGGGAUCAUGCAGCUGCCAUCAGCUUCCUGAUGGGUCAGGGAUGGGGCAUGACUGGCAGGUCUGUACCCCUCUGUGCCCGGGAAUGGAGUGUGCUGGUGAUGAGGGAGAUGCCCAGCACGGAUCAGGGAGGAGCAUCAAGGCAGGGCUGGGUCUGAACUGUGCAUAACCCCAUGACAUCUCCCUUCACCCCUGUGUUUUAACACCUGUAACAGGGAAACACACCCAGGUGAGCAGAGAGCUCUCCCAGGUGGUGGCAGCAGCACACACGCAUGGAUGGAGCUGUGGGCAGCACCCGGCUCUGCUCCCACCAGGGUGUCCAUGUGGUGGCAAAGCCACCACCUCCAUCCCACCACCCUUUAGUCCUCAAAGGCAGCAAACUCCAGACAGGGGAGCAGUCAGGGCUGUAGAUCUGAAGCCUGGCUGUUUGCCCCUCCUGCCUCAUUAUUCCUUGGACAACAUUAGCACUGGUGAAUCUCUUCCCAGGCUGGGCUGCUGCUUUUCACUGGGGGUGGUGGGGUGGAUCCUGCCAUCCCAACAGACAUGACAGGGUGGGAUGUGGGACUUGCCCAGUUGGCUGGAAGCCAUGGGCAUGCUGGCAUGAUGGAGAUGAGAAGCAGCAGCUUCUUAUCUUGAGGUGUCAAGGCUUUGGGGACCGUGCGGCACAAUGACAAGCCUACCCUGGGAGCAGAGGGGGAGAGAAGAGGCUGAGCGGGGCGGGAGGAGCCAGGCUCUGCAGCCUCCAUCAACAGCACUGGGCCAUAAACUCGGUGCAGUGGCUGUCGUUUAUGUGUCAGCAAACACGUUGAGUGGGCUCGACUAUUGAUUCUGACCGUAUAAAAGAGUGUUGUGGCACUUGUUCAGGUUUGCGCAGGUUUUACAGCUCUUGUUCUGAGAAGUGCCCAUGUAUUUGGCUUUGCUCCUUCCUUCAGGUCUAUCUGUUGACAUUGGCUCUCCUACCCAGAGCGUUGGGCCAUGCCAGGAAGCUGAGUGUACGGCUCUCCCUGCAUUUCCCACUUUCCCAGGGGUUAUCGCCUAUAAAAUCUUGCACACACCCAUGGCUGGGACAUGUUUCUGGUGCAGAGGCAGGUGAAAGGUGCCCGUUGGUCCCAUGCUGGUGGGUUUGGGUGCCACACACUUGGUGGCAGGAGCUGAGCCACCCAUCUUGAUGGGUGAUUUUAGAGUAAAUGGGCAGACCUGUGGGGAGGCGCUGCCCUGGGGUGGGAUGAGCAAGGUGAGAGAUCUGUAGGGCUGCGAAGAAAAUUGGCACGUCAAACCAGCUUGGGUGUCCAGUGAGGGAAAAGGUGUCAGAGCUCCCAUAGCAUCACCACAGGGGACAUGGCCCACGCAUGGUGACCCACAGCAUGAGGCCCACAGUAUUCCCAUUCCCACCUUCACUCUUCCCACCAGAAGAUGCCAGCACUGGCUGAGCCCGCAGGGACACCUUGGUGCUGGGAGGGCUUGAGCCCAUGGUGUUGGCCCCAUCCGCCCCUUGGCACUGGGGCUCCUGGUGCCGCAGGGCUAGAGAUGACGUCCCUCCAGUGGCU